This 305-nucleotide ribosomal RNA is filed under the name uncultured bacterium. RNAcentral's name for it is "partial 16S ribosomal RNA". It matches the Rfam family "Bacterial small subunit ribosomal RNA", at positions 506 to 807 of the family's 1533-position model. The record is from RNAcentral.
ACAGCAGCAGCCACGGUAAUACGAAGGGGGCUAGCGUUGCUCGGAAUGACUGGGCGUAAAGCGCACGUAGGCGGCUUGGUAAGUUAGAGGUGAAAGCCUGGAGCUCAACUCCAGAAUUGCCUUUAAGACUGCCGAGCUAGCAGGUGAGAGAGGUAAGUGGAAUUCCGAGUGUAGAGGUGAAAUUCGUAGAUAUUCAGAGGAACACCAGUGGCGAAGGCGGCUUACUGGCUCAUACUGGACGCUGAGGUGCGAAAGCGUGGGGAGCAAACAGGAUUAGAUACCCCAGUAGUCCCUGUCUCUUAUAC